RNAcentral lists this long non-coding RNA (275 nucleotides) under Hordeum vulgare. RNAcentral describes it as "long non-coding RNA (HVUL_LNC006965)". The record is from RNAcentral. Lineage: Eukaryota; Viridiplantae; Streptophyta; Magnoliopsida; Poales; Poaceae.
UUUUCUUUGUGUAAAGGUAGAAGAUAUUGGUUACAAUGUUUAUUGGUUCUUGCAUGCUUACCUAUUUAGCUUUCAAAGAGCCAUAUUAAUUUGUCUUCUCCUUUGUGUUUGCCUGCAGAUUCAGCUUAGUCCAAUGCGCUUAUUAUUGUUCACAUCGUUUGAUCGUGCAAAUGAAAGCCAACAAUGAUGAUAUAUGAUGAAGUGACUGAGACACAAAAGCUGGUAUGAACUCUAUCUAUUUUGUUUUUGUAAAUAUGACUAGCUUGUUGACCCAG